GCAUGAACUUCCAGGGAACCUACUGAAAAGUUAUUAGAGCUAAGUAGCCAUAAUGAUAUUGAUUUGGAAAACCAAGGUAUGCCUGUGCUCUUCCUCCUGGCCAACUCUCUUCUUAUAAGGAGGUAUGGAGGUACCACAAUCACCUCUCAUAAUGUAGUAUCCUCAUCUGUUCUGAUAUACAUAGCAGGCCUUUUCUGUUACUUCAUAAAAGAAGUUGAAAAUCAUAUAAAAAAUGUCACUACUUCUACUGUACAGUUCAAGUUUUGAAGCAAAUGGACUAUAAUAAAUAGAUCUUUCUUAACAAGUUCUAAAUGUUGGAUGUACAUAUUCAGUACCACUUACGAAUGCAUAAGACAUUUUUAUACAGUUUACAAGUAUUUUCUUUAAACUUCACCAUACUUAAACUUUGAUUUAAACUUCACUGUAGUUAAAACAUUUUCCAAAGUAAUGGGCUUAUUUUCACUUUCACAAAUUUGUAGAAACAGAGGUAUGAACUUCCUCAUUUUGUAUGCUGCUGUUUGAAGCUGACAGCUGGUCCAAUUCAUGAGGGCCACUAUAAGUAGUACUGAAUUGUAGUUAUUUCCUUGUUUUGUUAGAUUGACAGAAAAUCAUGUCAAUUUUUAACAAGUAGCACUUGUGACAUAAUGUCUCCUGUUCUCUGGAGCUUGCCUAUUUCUGUGAAAGAUUCAGACUGCUCGUGUAAACAACUAUUAAAUUUUUAUGUGCCUCCCAGAUCAUGUUUGCUGCAGAAAAUGUUUACCUCCCUAUUUCAGCCUGAAAACUUUUAAAUUCUAUUUUAAGAACUGAAGACAUCAGCUCAGAAUCAAGUCCUACAUGCCUAGAAGUUAAGCUUUUCAAAUUUUGCUUAUAUAUUUAUAUAUUAAUAAUUUGCUUAUGUAUUUAUAUAUACAAUUUUCUGAUUUAUGAGAAAUCUGGACAGGAAGCAAUACAUUUCUAUGGCACAAAGGACAACUGAGGGAUUUGAAUAGAAAAGCAAUGAAAUGAAAUCUGGUAAGAUAAUACAGAAAACAAAAAUAUCAAAACUAUUGUGGGAAAAAAAAAACCUCCAAACAAAUAAACAAACAAACAAACAAAAAAUACAGAACAAACAAAGAAAGCACACCAAAUCAACCACAGUUUUAUGAUGUUUCUAAAUUGAAUAAAAAGUCCUUUCCUUCUUUUCUAUUUGCGGAUAUUAAUCAGUUUUACAGUAGAAGAUAUUAGGAAACCUACAGUGCAUUUUGUAAAAAGUAUAGAAAACAAACUACAAACAAAACAAACAAAAAAAGAAAAAAACACAAAACCAACCAACCAACAAAAAAACAAAAAUCCAAAUAUUUUUAAAAUGAAUCUGGUAUCUGGUAUUGGUUACAGGACAAAUUGUUUUGCUCACAGUUGUUUAGAUCGCUUCGUUUACCUCUUGCCUUGCCCUCUCUUUAAUCAUAAUUUUAUGAUGAUGAAGCUUUUGUCUGUCCAAAGUGAUGCCUCUGACGAAGUAAAACACUUGCUUUAAAACUAUCCUAUGUGGUUUUGAUAUUAACCAUAUUCCAUAUAGAUGACCGUAACAUUUUAUCUUUUGGCCCUGUGUCAUUUGUAAACUUGAUUUACUUGCUUUUUAAAUGAAGCAGGACUUCAUUUCUUGUAACUUUCUGUGUGGUUUUACUGUAUUUGCUUAAGUAGCAGUAAAUUUUAUUAUUCUUACAAUCUUAUUCCACCAAUAUUUUUAAUUAAUAUUUGUCACUUAAAAUUCGAUGAAGUUUUGUAGUUCUUAUUUUUCUGGAAGUGCAUACUUUCUAGUUCUUUGCUAAUGUUUGAACUGGUUCCCCGUAUCCUCAUUGUCUAUUACAUUUAUUUUUCUCACAGUGAGGAUUAUGUAUUUUAGACACUGUCUGGCUAAUAUUUUAGGUUAAUCUGUAACACUUCAGUAUUACUGUCCUAAUACUGUAAAUGCACUGGUGAAUCUACACAUUCUGGUAUAAAACUGAGGCAUUUUUUCUCUUGUGGACCCAGAAUAUAACAUUUUAUAAACCAUCUUUGCUUAUAACUGAUAAAAAUUUACAGAAACUUGACAGAGAAGACAAAUUUCUUCAACAUGAGUGCUCCCAAAGACGCUGAACCUUGCGUAUAUUCUUGCUUAUUUACUCAGAUCAAGCUGAUGUACACAGAAUAAAAAUAUUCAUAGGUCUACAGGUUAAUUAAACUCCUUUAGUUAUUUGAGACACAGUGAAUGACUCUGUAUGCAUUCUUAGCUUAUACCUGUAAUUAAAUGCUUCAGG
This is a long non-coding RNA of Gallus gallus (chicken), 2276 nucleotides long. Lineage: Eukaryota; Metazoa; Chordata; Aves; Galliformes; Phasianidae. The record is from Ensembl.